UCCUGAUCAAGAUUUUGCUAAAUUGAAAUACACUGAUGCAUAUCUCCUACCAAUUCAGAGGGAUCAAUUCCAUCUUGACUCACACACCGACUUGAUAAGUACUUGACUGUACCUAGUAUCCUUCCAUCACUAAGUUAAAAAUUUAGAUAGUCUGAUAUUAAAGUACAGUGAGUUGCUUACAAAUCACCAUGGUGGUCUCA
Molecule: long non-coding RNA, 200 nt
Filed under: Elaeis guineensis (African oil palm)
Lineage: Eukaryota; Viridiplantae; Streptophyta; Magnoliopsida; Arecales; Arecaceae
Description: long non-coding RNA (EGUI_LNC059265)
Source: RNAcentral